Molecule: ribosomal RNA, 613 nt
Filed under: uncultured bacterium
Lineage: Bacteria
Description: bacterial SSU rRNA
Rfam family: Bacterial small subunit ribosomal RNA
Source: RNAcentral
AGUACGGUCGCAAGAUUAAAACUCAAAGGAAUAGACGGGGACCCGCACAAGUGGUGGAGCAUGUGGUUUAAUUCGAAGAUACGCGAAGAACCUUACCUAGCCUUGACAUAUAUUAGAAUCACCCAGAGAUGGGAGAGUGCCUUCGGGAGCUUUUAUACAGGUGCUGCACGGCUGUCGUCAGCUCGUGUCGUGAGAUGUUGGGUUAAGUCCCGCAACGAGCGCAACCCUCGUCACUAGUUACUAACGGUUCGGCCGAGGACUCUAGUGAGACUGCCUUCGUAAGGAGGAGGAAGGUGAGGACGACGUCAAGUCAUCAUGGCCCUUACGGCUAGGGCAACACACGUGCUACAAUGGCCAGGACAGUGAGAAGCGAUACCGUGAGGUGGAGCAAAUCUAUAAACCUGGUCUCAGUUCGGAUUGUAGUCUGCAACUCGACUACAUGAAGCUGGAAUCACUAGUAAUCGUAGAUCAGCUAUGCUACGGUGAAUACGUUCCCGGGUCUUGUACUCACCGCCCGUCACACCAUGGGAGUUGAUUUCACCCGAAGCGGGGAAGCUAAACUGGCUACCCUCCACGGUGGAAUUAGCGACUGGGGUGAAGUCGUAACAAGGUA